UAGUAUUUGUUCGAAAUCUGACGGAUUUGGAUAAUUUUAACGUUGUUGUGCAAUUUGUGGAAACCAAUAUGGAUUCUGUUAGUCAGCGAAUUGCGGAAUGUGAUGUGUAUACGUUGGAAAAUCCGGUUCAAAUUGAAGAGGAAGAAAAAUCCAAUAGAUCGGAUGAGAAAGAGAAAAAACAUCAAAAAAAGAAGUAAAAAUAUUAAACCUUUUUACAAUUUUGAACAAUAAUUACUUACUUCCUACAUAACAUUGUAAUUAUUUCGAUUAUACGGUGCGUUACAUUUUAUUUUUAGGAAAGCGACGGAAAAAAGGAAAUUUGUGCAGCCAAUUCGCAGAACUUGUGGGAUGAUACUGUCAAUCUUACAGAUUUCGAAGAAGCAAUGCAACAUGCGGAAAAAUUAAGAGAAAUAAUUGAAAAGAAAAAAGUGAUAG
This is a long non-coding RNA of Cimex lectularius (bed bug), 435 nucleotides long. RefSeq lists it as uncharacterized. The record is from RefSeq and is a predicted model, not a curated record. NCBI's taxonomy places the organism in Eukaryota, Metazoa, Arthropoda, Insecta, Hemiptera, Cimicidae. The transcript is spliced from 3 exons.